RNAcentral lists this ribosomal RNA (466 nucleotides) under uncultured bacterium. Its description in RNAcentral is "bacterial SSU rRNA". It matches the Rfam family "Bacterial small subunit ribosomal RNA", at positions 355 to 825 of the family's 1533-position model. The record is from RNAcentral.
UAGGGAAUAUUGGGCAAUGGAGGGAACUCUGACCCAGCCAUGCCGUGUGCAGGAUGAAGGCGUUAUGCGUUGUAAACUGCUUUUAUAUAGGAAGAAAUAGUCCUUGCGAGGAAAGUUGACGGUACUAUAUGAAUAAGCACCGGCUAACUCCGUGCCAGCAGCCGCGGUAAUACGGAGGGUGCAAGCGUUGUCCGGAUUUAUUGGGUUUAAAGGGUGCGUAGGCGGUUUAUUAAGUCAGUGGUGAAAGACGGUCGCUCAACGAUUGCAGUGCCAUUGAUACUGGUAGACUUGAGUAUGAUUGAGGUAGCUGGAAUGGAUAGUGUAGCGGUGAAAUGCAUAGAUAUUAUCCAGAACACCAAUUGCGUAGGCAAGUUACUAAGUCAUAACUGACGCUGAGGCACGAAAGUGUGGGUAUCAAACAGGAUUAGAUACCCCAGUAGUCCCUGAGCGGGCUGGCAAGGCGCAU